This 497-nucleotide ribosomal RNA is filed under the name uncultured bacterium. RNAcentral's name for it is "partial 16S ribosomal RNA". It matches the Rfam family "Bacterial small subunit ribosomal RNA", at positions 28 to 507 of the family's 1533-position model. The record is from RNAcentral.
GAUGAACGCUGGCGGCGUGCCUAAUACAUGCAAGUCGAGCGAACAGACGAGGAGCUUGCUCCUCUGACGUUAGCGGCGGACGGGUGAGUAACACGUGGAUAACCUACCUAUAAGACUGGGAUAAUUUCGGGAAACCGGAGCUAAUACCGGAUAAUAUAUUGAACCGCAUGGUUCAAUAGUGAAAGACGGUUUUGCUGUCACUUAUAGAUGGAUCCGCGCCGCAUUAGCUAGUUGGUAAGGUAACGGCUUACCAAGGCAACGAUGCGUAGCCGACCUGAGAGGGUGGUCGGCCACACUGGAACGGAGACACGGUCCAGACGCCUACGGGAGGCAGCAGUAGGGAAUCUUCCGCAAUGGGCGAAAGCAUGACGGAGCAACGCCGCGUGAGUGAUGAAGGUCUUCGGAUCGUAAAACUCUGUUAUUAGGGAAGAACAAAUGUGUAAGUAACUAUGCACGUCUUGACGGUACCUAAUCAGAAAGCCACGGCUAACUACGUG